RNAcentral lists this transfer RNA (74 nucleotides) under Loxodonta africana (African savanna elephant). It matches the Rfam family "tRNA". Rfam says of the family: Transfer RNA (tRNA) molecules are approximately 80 nucleotides in length. Their secondary structure includes four short double-helical elements and three loops (D, anti-codon, and T loops). Further hydrogen bonds mediate the characteristic L-shaped molecular structure. tRNAs have two regions of fundamental functional importance: the anti-codon, which is responsible for specific mRNA codon recognition, and the 3' end, to which the tRNAs corresponding amino acid is attached (by aminoacyl-tRNA synthetases). tRNAs cope with the degeneracy of the genetic code in two manners: having more than one tRNA (with a specific anti-codon) for a particular amino acid; and 'wobble' base-pairing, i.e. permitting non-standard base-pairing at the 3rd anti-codon position. Lineage: Eukaryota; Metazoa; Chordata; Mammalia; Proboscidea; Elephantidae. The record is from Rfam by way of RNAcentral.
ACCUGGGUGGUGUAAACGAUUAACGCACUUGUCUGCUAACCAAAAAGUUGGAGGUUCAAGUCCACCCAGAGGCA